CCGUGCCAGCAGCCGCGGUAAUACGGAGGGUGCAAGCGUUAAUCGGAAUUACUGGGCGUAAAGCGCGCGUAGGUGGCUUGAUAAGCCGGUUGUGAAAGCCCCGGGCUCAACCUGGGAACGGCAUCCGGAACUGUCAGGCUAGAGUGCAGGAGAGGAAGGUAGAAUUCCCGGUGUAGCGGUGAAAUGCGUAGAGAUCGGGAGGAAUACCAGUGGCGAAGGCGGCCUUCUGGACUGACACUGACACUGAGGUGCGAAAGCGUGGGUAGCAAACAGGAUUAGAUACCCUGGUAGUCCACGCCGUAAACGAUGUCGACCAGCCGUUGGGUGCCUAGAGCACUUUGUGGCGAAGUUAACGCGAUAAGUCGACCGCCUGGGGAGUACGGCCGCAAGGUUAAAACUCAAAUGAAUUGACGGGGGCCCGCACAAGCGGUGGAGCAUGUGGUUUAAUUCGAUGCAACGCGAAGAACCUUACCUACCCUUGACAUCUACAGAAGCCGGAAGAGAUUCUGGUGUGCCUUCGGGAACUGUAAGACAGGUGCUGCAUGGCUGUCGUCAGCUCGUGUUGUGAAAUGUUGGGUUAAGUCCCGUAACGAGCGCAACCCUUGUCCUUAUUUGCCAGCACGUAAUGGUGGGAACUCUAAGGAGACUGCCGGUGACAAACCGGAGGAAGGUGGGGACGACGUCAAGUCAUCAUGGCCCUUACGGGUAGGGCUACACACGUGCUACAAUGGCCGGUACAAAGGGCUGCGAGCUCGCGAGAGUCAGCGAAUCCCUUAAAGCCGGUCUCAGUCCGGAUCGGAGUCUGCAACUCGACUCCGUGAAGUCGGAAUCGCUAGUAAUCGUGAAUCAGAAUGUCACGGUGAAUACGUUCCCGGGCCUUGUACACACCGCCCGUCACACCAUGGGAGUGGACUGCACCAGAAGUG
RNAcentral lists this ribosomal RNA (926 nucleotides) under Halomonas sp. RNAcentral describes it as "bacterial SSU rRNA". It matches the Rfam family "Bacterial small subunit ribosomal RNA", at positions 503 to 1428 of the family's 1533-position model. The record is from RNAcentral. Lineage: Bacteria; Pseudomonadati; Pseudomonadota; Gammaproteobacteria; Oceanospirillales; Halomonadaceae.